This is a long non-coding RNA of Tachysurus fulvidraco (yellow catfish), 662 nucleotides long. RefSeq lists it as uncharacterized. The transcript has 2 exons. Lineage: Eukaryota; Metazoa; Chordata; Actinopteri; Siluriformes; Bagridae. The record is from RefSeq and is a predicted model, not a curated record.
CUUUUCUCCUUGCUGCGAUUAGACUUUACAAUCAAAGCUGCUCCCAGUUCAUCCCAAAGGUGUUCAGUGGGGUUUCGUUAGGACACACCUCAACCUUAACACACCAUGUGUUCAUGGAACUCUGUGCUUUGGGCACAAGGACAUUAUCAUGCUGAAACAGUCUCUCAGAGAAAAGGGAAAUUAUAAUGCUACAGCAUACAGAGACGUUCUGUACAACUGAGUGAUUCCAACUUUACGGCAACACUUUUGGGAAUAACUACAAAUGGGAACGAUGACCAGGAGUACACAAACUGCUGGCCUUGAAGUGUCCCUGAAAAUUUCACUUACAUAUUCAACUUCAUAUUUCUUUUUUUCUUGGCUGCCACUGGGGAGGAAGUUCUGACUUUCGGCAUCCAAAUCACCGUUCUGACUGCAAUUUAGGGAGAAAAAUACAUAUAUUUUUAUUUUGUAUUGCAUAAUAAUAUGCAAAUAUGAAUAUAUAACAGCAUGCUGAAUAAUUGCUACCUGCUCAAUGGCACUUUCUUGGGGUGAUAGUCAGGGCACUCAAUGCUGUUGGAACUGGAGCUGCUGUCUUCAUCUGGUGAAAUGUUAAAGCGGCUAAUUUCCGCUUUUCCAGGAAUAAUGUCCAUUGUAACAAAUGUCCUAAUGUAAAAAACCUAAAA